AAUAGAUACCCUGGUAGUCCACGCCGUAAACGAUGGAUGCUAGCUGUUAUGAGUAUCGACCCUUGUAGUAGCGAAGCUAACGCGUUAAGCAUCCCGCCUGUGGAGUACGAGCGCAAGCUUAAAACAUAAAGGAAUUGACGGGGACCCGCACAAGCGGUGGAGCGUGUUGUUUAAUUCGAUGAUAAGCGAAGAACCUUACCAAGGCUUGACAUCCCUGGAAGGUCUCCGAAAGGAGACUGUGCCUUCGGGAAUCAGGUGACAGGUGAUGCAUGGCCGUCGUCAGCUCGUGUCGUGAGAUGUUUGGUUAAGUCCAUCAACGAGUGCAACCCUUAUAAAUAGUUGAAUUUUUCUAUUUAGACUGCCUCGGUAACGGGGAGGAAGGAGGGGAUGACGUCAGGUCAGUAUUCCCUUAUGCCUUGGGCUACAAACACGCUACAAUGGCCGGUACAAAGGGCAGCCAACCCGCGAGGGGGAGCAAAUCCCAUCAAAACCGGUCCCAGUUCGGAUAGCAGGCUGAAACUCGCCUGCUUGAAGUCGGAAUCGCGU
This 546-nucleotide ribosomal RNA is filed under the name uncultured bacterium. Its description in RNAcentral is "bacterial SSU rRNA". It matches the Rfam family "Bacterial small subunit ribosomal RNA", at positions 777 to 1337 of the family's 1533-position model. The record is from RNAcentral.